Vigna radiata var. radiata (mung bean) is the source of this 413-nucleotide long non-coding RNA. RefSeq lists it as uncharacterized. Lineage: Eukaryota; Viridiplantae; Streptophyta; Magnoliopsida; Fabales; Fabaceae. The record is from RefSeq and is a predicted model, not a curated record. The transcript has 2 exons.
UAACACUAGCAUGUGCUUUUCAUAUAAAACUGCACAAAAUCCUCACAUCUUUUUCAUUUUCUGAGAUCCUAAACUUACUCUCUCUUUAUAUAAACACUGAACAGGAAAGGAAACUGCAUCGACAUCCCUUUGAUGCACAAAGAACGUAGCCUUAAAAUCCUCAUCCACCCAAACGGUGAGAAGGAAAUUUUACCUAAACUACGCAACUAUGUUAGUGGGAUGAGCAUAGAGCCUCCUCAGGAUCUUGGUUGCAACUAGAAUGUUUUCCCUACCGUUUGAUUCAGCUUUUGUACAUUGUGAGGUCCACCUUGCGAAGAUAAGGAGCUCCGUCCAUGGAAACUUUGACAAAUGCCCCAGAAGCAGUGCUGCUUGUUGUCUUCUCAGCUCCAUCCUCACUGGUGGCCAACCAACCA